GAAAGCAAGCCAUCUAGAAAACUGUCUCUAUGGACAGGAGGAAUUGAAAAUCUUUGACAUUGAGGAGGGAAAGUCAGGCCCUGAAGAACACAGUGAGAUUUUCAUCUGAGAUUUUUAACUUCUUACAGUCAAGGUCUCUGAGAAGAGAGGUGUUUCAUCCUAUGUUAAAGCUCCCUGUAGCAGCAGCCCAGCUGCUGCGUCCGCCGGGAGGGGCUGCCAAGUGCCCUGCCUACUGGUUGCUUCCCGAGUCCUGCCAUUCCACACACAAACACAUCCACACGCGCUCUGCCUGGAUCACACACCGAGCCACUCGAACAUGCGAGCGCAUUCCUUCCUUCCUUCUCACUGUCUCGGACUUUGACUUCUACAAGCCCAUGGAACAUUUCUGGAACACGCUCUUGAUCCAGCAGGGUAUGAUUGUUUUGAUUUCUCUCUCUGUAGCUUGAGCCUUUUGAGAAAGCAACUCUUAC
RNAcentral lists this long non-coding RNA (470 nucleotides) under Fukomys damarensis (Damara mole-rat). Its description in RNAcentral is "lncRNA (ENSFDAG00000026599.1)". The record is from RNAcentral. Lineage: Eukaryota; Metazoa; Chordata; Mammalia; Rodentia; Bathyergidae.